This 69-nucleotide transfer RNA is filed under the name Ictidomys tridecemlineatus (thirteen-lined ground squirrel). RNAcentral's name for it is "Spermophilus tridecemlineatus (thirteen-lined ground squirrel) tRNA". It matches the Rfam family "tRNA". From Rfam's summary of the family: Transfer RNA (tRNA) molecules are approximately 80 nucleotides in length. The record is from Rfam by way of RNAcentral. Lineage: Eukaryota; Metazoa; Chordata; Mammalia; Rodentia; Sciuridae.
GGGGUUGUAGCUCAAUGGUAGAGUGCCUGCCUCGCAUGUGUGAGGCACUGGGUUCAAUCCCCAGCACCA